CUCAAAGGAAUUGACGGGGACCCGCACAAGCGGUGGAUGAUGUGGAUUAAUUCGAUGCAACGCGAAAAACCUUACCUGCGCUUGACAUGCCAGGAACCCCGAAGAGAUUUGGGGGUGCCCGAAAGGGAGCCUGGACACAGGUGCUGCAUGGCUGUCGUCAGCUCGUGUCGUGAGAUGUUGGGUUAAGUCCCGCAACGAGCGCAACCCUUAUCCUUAGUUGCUACGCAAGGGCACUCUAAGGAGACUGCCGGUGACAAACCGGAGGAAGGUGGGGAUGACGUCAAGUCCUCAUGGCCCUUAUGCGCAGGGCUUCACACGUCAUACAAUGGUCGGUACAGAGGGUCGCCAACCCGCGAGGGGGAGCCAAUCCCAGAAAGCCGAUCGUAGUCCGGAUUGCAGUCUGCAACUCGACUGCAUGAAGUCGGAAUCGCUAGUAAUCGCGGAUCAGCAUGUCGCGGUGAAUACGUUCCCGGGUCUUGUACACACCGCCCGUCACACCAUGGGAGUGGGUUCUACCAGAAGUAGUUAGCUUAACCGCAAGGAGGGCGAU
This 550-nucleotide ribosomal RNA is filed under the name uncultured Bordetella sp. Its description in RNAcentral is "bacterial SSU rRNA". It matches the Rfam family "Bacterial small subunit ribosomal RNA", at positions 900 to 1454 of the family's 1533-position model. The record is from RNAcentral. Lineage: Bacteria; Pseudomonadati; Pseudomonadota; Betaproteobacteria; Burkholderiales; Alcaligenaceae.